RNAcentral lists this ribosomal RNA (235 nucleotides) under uncultured bacterium. RNAcentral describes it as "partial 16S ribosomal RNA". It matches the Rfam family "Bacterial small subunit ribosomal RNA", at positions 99 to 334 of the family's 1533-position model. The record is from RNAcentral.
CGGACGGGUGAGUAACGCGUGGGUAACCUGCCUCAUACGGGGGGAUAGCAGCUGGAAACGGCUGGUAAUACCGCAUAAGCGCACAGUACCACAUGGUACAGUGUGAAAAACUCCGGUGGUAUGAGAUGGACCCGCGUCUGAUUAGCUAGUUGGCGGGGUAACGGCCCACCAAGGCGACGAUCAGUAGCCGACCUGAGAGGGUGACCGGCCACAUUGGGACUGAGACACGGCCCAG